Molecule: transfer RNA, 70 nt
Filed under: Ophiura albida
Lineage: Eukaryota; Metazoa; Echinodermata; Ophiuroidea; Amphilepidida; Ophiuridae
Also listed under: 1 other name
Description: transfer RNA-Asp
Source: RNAcentral
AGAAAUUUAGUUAAGUUAUAACUCUGGUCUGUCAGUCCAGAAUCGCGAAAUAAAUACUUCGCAAUUUCUU